AUACCUUUCUCGGUCUUUUGGCUAAGAUCAUGUGUAGUAUCUGUUCUUAUCAGUUUAAUAUCUGAUACAUGGACCAUGUGUUCACUUUGAUAUUAAAUUUAUUUUUUAGGGGAGGUCUUGUAAUAGUGGAUUGCCACUAGAGUCUUGAGUGUCGCUUAGGUAUUGCACUAUUGCCUAAGUUUGGCGCACCCCAA
RNAcentral lists this small nuclear RNA (194 nucleotides) under Oryza punctata. Its description in RNAcentral is "U2 spliceosomal RNA". It matches the Rfam family "U2 spliceosomal RNA". From Rfam's summary of the family: U2 is a small nuclear RNA (snRNA) component of the spliceosome (involved in pre-mRNA splicing). Complementary binding between U2 snRNA (in an area lying towards the 5' end but 3' to hairpin I) and the branchpoint sequence (BPS) of the intron results the bulging out of an unpaired adenosine, on the BPS, which initiates a nucleophilic attack at the intronic 5' splice site, thus starting the first of two transesterification reactions that mediate splicing. Lineage: Eukaryota; Viridiplantae; Streptophyta; Magnoliopsida; Poales; Poaceae. The record is from Rfam by way of RNAcentral.